Molecule: long non-coding RNA, 370 nt
Organism: Olea europaea var. sylvestris
Lineage: Eukaryota; Viridiplantae; Streptophyta; Magnoliopsida; Lamiales; Oleaceae
Exons: 2
Source: RefSeq, a predicted model, not a curated record
CCUCCAGUUUACAAGUACAAGUCCCCACCACCUCCAGUUUACAAGUACAAGUCCCCACCACCUCCAGUUUACAAGUACAAGUCUCCUCCACCUCCUCACCACGACUAAGAAAGGGAAGGAGAAUAUUUCCAGAAUAAAGAAGAAAUGGAUGUGCUGAAAAUGAUUUUUGAGGACGAAUGAAAGCGAUGGAAGAAGAAUAGAAUAAGCUAUAUAUACUGCAGAAGAAGUUGUCAUAAUUUUCUUCAGUUUGUUUAUUUUAUUAAGAUUAGCGUCCCUAUGUUUUACGUAGCAAGCCAUGCAUGGUUGUAUGCAGAGUGUUUCAUGAUUUAUAUAAUAAAUAAGUGAAUGUUCAUGUUCUUGUUUAAUGGAA